Molecule: ribosomal RNA, 452 nt
Filed under: uncultured bacterium
Lineage: Bacteria
Description: bacterial SSU rRNA
Rfam family: Bacterial small subunit ribosomal RNA
Source: RNAcentral
AGGAGGCAGCAGUGGGGAAUAUUGGUCAAUGGACGCAAGUCUGAACCAGCCAUGCCGCGUGAAGGAUGAAGGCCUUCUGGGUUGUAAACUUCUUUUAUGUGGGAAGAAACCUCUGAUUUCUAUUAGAGUUGACGGUACCAUAGGAAUAAGCACCGGCUAACUCCGUGCCAGCAGCCGCGGUAAUACGGAGGGUGCAAGCGUUAUCCGGAUUUACUGGGUUUAAAGGGUGUGUAGGCGGAUCUUUAAGUCAGUGGUGAAAUCUCCGAGCUUAACUUGGAAACUGCCAUUGAUACUAUUGAUCUUGAAUUCUGUUGAGGUGGGCGGAAUAAGUCAUGUAGCGGUGAAAUGCAUAGAUAUGACUUAGAACACCAAUUGCGAAGGCAGCUCGCUAAGCAGAUAUUGACGCUGAGGCACGAAAGCGUGGGGAUCAAACAGGAUUAGAUACCCUAGUA